Molecule: ribosomal RNA, 672 nt
Filed under: uncultured eukaryote
Lineage: Eukaryota
Description: SSU rRNA
Rfam family: Eukaryotic small subunit ribosomal RNA
Source: RNAcentral
UUGAUGGCAGUGUAUUGGACUACCAUGGCAGUCACGGGUAACGGAGAAUUAGGGUUCGAUUCCGGAGAGGGAGCCUGAGAAACGGCUACCACAUCUACGGAAGGCAGCAGGCGCGCAAAUUGCCCAAUCCUGACACGGGGAGGCAGUGACAAGAAAUAACAACUCUUGGAUUUCUAAGAAGUGUAAUGAGGAUAAUUUACAACCCUUACCGAAAGCAAUUGGAGGGCAAGUCUGGUGCCAGCAGCCGCGGUAAUUCCAGCUCCAAUAGCGUAUAUUAAAGUUGUUGCAGUUAAAAAGCUCGUAGUUGAAGUUCUGAUUGUUCGGGCCUCGCGCUUUAUAGCCGAGGAAUCGACAGUCAUCCGCUUGCAAAUAUAUGUUCGCCUUUAACCGGGUGGCUAUAUGAGUAAGCAAUUUACCUUGAGAAAAACAGAGUGUUCCAGGCAGGUUUGUCCGGAAUGCAUUAGCAUGGAAUAAUAGAAUAUGACUGAAGUCAAUUUAUUGGUUUAAGGCUUUAGUAAUGAUUAAUAGGAACAGUCGGGGGCAUUGGUACUUAACAGUCAGAGGUGAAAUUCUAGGAUUUGUUAAAGACUAACAAAUGCGAAAGCAUUUGCCAAGGAUGUUUUCAUUAAUCAAGAACGAAAGUUAGGGGAUCAAAGACGAUCAGAUACCGUC